Molecule: RNA transcript, 3893 nt
Organism: Aquila chrysaetos chrysaetos
Lineage: Eukaryota; Metazoa; Chordata; Aves; Accipitriformes; Accipitridae
Gene: CTPS2
Gene name: CTP synthase 2
Exons: 21
Source: RefSeq, a predicted model, not a curated record
UGCCGCCGCCGCCGGCGGAGGGGCGGGAAGCGCGCGCGCCCGCCCGGGCCUGGCUUGACGGAGCCGCGCCCCGGCGGGAAGCGGCGGGCCGGGCCGGUGCGGGCCGUGAGGGGCCGGUGCGGGCCGUGAGGGGCGCCGCCGCCGCCGCGGGGCUUCGCCUUCCUCAGGGAGGUGCCGCCGCCGCCUCCGCCUCCUCGUCCUCCCGCCCCGGGGGGCUCGCUUCAGUGCGGCAGUCCCCGGCGGUGACCCCGCGGCGGUUAGCGGGCAGCGGGCGCACGUCGGCUUCGCCCUCGGGCCGCCGGUUGAGAGUGCCCGCUGUUGGGGACAAAAAAAGUCGGCGCGGGGCGAUUUCCAGCUUGAGAUCAGUGCUUGUGCUGAUUUCCAAUGAAGUACAUCCUGGUAACUGGUGGUGUCAUCUCGGGCAUUGGCAAAGGGAUCAUUGCAAGCAGCAUUGGCACCAUACUGAAAUCAUGUGGUCUACGUGUCACUGCAAUCAAAAUUGAUCCUUACAUAAACAUAGAUGCUGGAACCUUUUCACCAUAUGAACAUGGUGAAGUUUUUGUAUUGAAUGAUGGUGGAGAAGUUGACUUAGAUUUAGGAAAUUAUGAGAGAUUUUUGGACAUCAGUCUCUAUAAAGAUAACAACAUCACCACUGGAAAGAUAUAUCAGCAUGUCAUUAAUAAAGAAAGACAUGGUGAUUACCUGGGAAAAACUGUUCAAGUUGUUCCACACAUCACCGAUGCAGUUCAGGAAUGGGUAAUGAAUCAGGCAAAAGUUCCGGUGGAUGAUGACAGAAAAGAGCCACAAAUUUGUGUAAUUGAGCUGGGUGGAACCAUUGGAGAUAUUGAAGGAAUGCCAUUUGUUGAAGCAUUUAGACAGUUUCAGUUCAAAGCCAAAAGAGAGAACUUCUGUAAUAUCCAUGUUAGUCUUGUACCACAGCCUAACGCCACUGGUGAACAGAAGACAAAACCAACACAGAACAGUGUUCGAGCACUGAGGGGUCUAGGCUUGUCUCCAGAUUUGAUUGUCUGCAGAAGUGCAAAACCUAUAGAAAUGGCAGUGAAGGAAAAGAUUUCCAUGUUUUGCCAUGUGGAGCCUGAGCAGGUGAUAUUUAUCCAUGAUGUUUCUUCUACUUACCGAGUACCAAUCCUGUUGGAGGAGCAAGGGAUCAUUAAGUAUUUUAAACAGAGGUUAAAUUUACCUAUUGAUGACCAGCCAAGUGAUCUUCUAAUGAAAUGGAAGAAAAUGGCUGACAGAUACGAAAGGUUGCUGAAGGUGUGUUCCAUAGCUCUCGUUGGCAAGUACACAAAACUAAGUGAUUGCUAUGCAUCUGUUUUCAAGGCUCUGGAACACUCUGCGCUGGCAAUUAAUCACAAACUGGAUUUAAUGUACAUAGAUUCAACAGAACUUGAACGUUCUAUGGAAGCGGAGAACUCAGUGAAAUAUCACCAGGCGUGGCACAAACUGUGCAAAGCAGAUGGUAUUCUGGUCCCAGGAGGGUUUGGAAUUAGGGGAACAGAAGGCAAACUCCAAGCUAUCUCCUGGGCAAGAACAAAGAAAAAGCCUUUCCUUGGAGUUUGCCUCGGAAUGCAAUUAGCAGUUGUGGAAUUUGCAAGGAACUGUUUGAAUUGGAAAGAUGCAAAUUCUACAGAAUUUGACCCAGACACAAAAAACCCUGUUGUUAUUGACAUGCCAGAACAUAAUCCUGGAGAUAUGGGUGGAACAAUGAGACUGGGGAAGAGGAGGACUGUUUUCAAAACGCAAAAUUCUGUUUUAAGGAAACUUUAUGGUGAUGAAAUGUUUGUAGAGGAGCGACACAGGCAUCGAUAUGAGGUGAACCCAGAACUGACUCACUGCUUUGAAGAGAAAGGUUUGAAAUUUGUUGGCCAUGAUACGGAAGGGAAGAGAAUGGAAAUUAUUGAACUGGAGAAUCACCCAUAUUUUGUGGGAGUUCAGUUCCACCCAGAGUUUUCCUCAAGACCUAUGAAACCUUCACCUCCAUACCUUGGACUGUUGCUAGCAGCAACUGGGACACUCAGUGCGUACCUGCAACGUGGAUGUAAAUUGUCUCCAAGAAAGAAUGACAGCUACAGUGACCUCAGCGAUGACAGCUCUCCAGAAAAAGAGUUUCCUAAUUCAGAAACAAGCUGAAAGGAUUGUAUGAGAUCACAGAAAUGGAUGAUACUAUUGAGAUCCUUCCCACCUCCAAACAUCACUAUGGCUGUUUUCUCGAGACCAACACAUAGUACAGGACAGCCCCUUUAGCUUUGACCUUCCUUUCCUCGAUGGAAUUUAUGAAUGAAAGUUGGGAACGGGACAAUAUUGAAUAGAAGAAAGUAGAAGAGUAAGCUGCUUACAGUCCUCAUAGUGUCUUCUCCUGUAGUGUUUUCAGUAAUUCUCUUUACAGAUGACAGUUUUACUGUCCUGUAGCAAAAACUGUUCUGUAUAAAUGCUGUUUCUCUUUAAACAUGACAAAAUGGUUGUGCACCUUAGCUGUUAAUCGUUACUGAUCUUCUCCUAUGUUUCAGAGCAAUCUCAGGUGAAUAUGUAUUAACUUGCUAGUUCACAACUGUUCUUGAUUUGAAGGAAGAUUUGAUUGUUUUCAGUUUGCCUUAGAACAGGUAGAUAAAAUGCAUUAGUUCUUGUGAAUGAGAGGGAAUGCACUGAAAAAUUUAAGGGAAAGUUGUCUUAUCCAUGAGCAGUAGAGAACUGGUUCAGGUUUGUUUCCCUGUUAAGCUUGUUGUGUAUAUAUAUUUUUACUUUUUUGCUGUUCAAUAUGUACAAAUGAGAAAUUAUUGCUGUAUUUCAGCUCUUUGUGAUUAUAAUAAUGGAUGUUGGAUACAAAUCUUUUCACUUUGCUUUUAUAAGUGAUUUCACUUACAAAAGUUCAAGUUUAUUUGCUCUAUUUCUCCUGAAAGUCUGAUAAUACUGAAUGUAAUUCUGACCUACAAAAUUACAGAAGUGAUAUUAGAAGGUGGGUUUGCAUUUGUAUUUUGUAGGAGAGAAGGUAAAUACACUCAUAUGUUAAAAUGUAAUUUGAACACUUGUAUGAAAGUUGUAGAAGAACCAGUCAUAAACCUGGAGCAUUAUCUGGGCUCCAGCCAUGCAACACUCAGUUAAUUUCAAUAGAUGAGUAUAAAGGUGAAUUAAGGUUCACUCUUGUUUUCCCUCAUCCAGUGACCACUCCGUGGUCAUGGCGCUCAUUCCCCAAUAGAAUAGAACAAGGUAUUUUAAUUUAGAAAUCACAAGUUAUUCCACUAUACAACAAUUGCAGGCAGCCCUGCAAAGGCAAGACUGCAGCCUGAAUCACUGAGGCAGAAGGGGAAGGUGAGAGGUGCUGUACUGCGUUUAAGGCUGGAUCCCAUGAGCAAUGUGGUAUCAUCAGACCUGUCACAGAAGCUGGACCUGAGCUAUGUAGCUGGUGGGCUCCGAAUGCCUGGGGCACUCUUUCCUAUAAAGAAAACUUCUGAAUUUUGAGCUUUGUAUUUCGUUUUGGUUUUGGGCAAAGCGACUUUUUUAAUUCAUCAAAAGGUAAAUAUCUGUAGGAAAAAAAAAGCACCAUGUCCCUUUUUACAGCUUUGUAAAACAGUACCUCUGAGAGCUUUGCAUUGCUUUAGAAAAUCUCAGGUUACACAGCCAAUUUGUCUCUUCACUGAAAGAAGCUUUAAUGGUAACAAAAUAUCAAAUGUAUUCCUAUGGCAGCGUUCUUCUAAAGUGAUUUGCAAAUGUGUGCCUUAGAGAUAGCAGGUCUUGACAGAAUUGGUGUCACCGUUUGUCUUCCCCAGGGAGAGACACUGGCCACUGGUUUGUGAAAGGUGAAACAUUUCCUAAGAUUGUCUGUAAUGUGCAAAUGUAUUUUCAAAUAUAUUAAAUUGUGUUAUUCAGAAGUGUUA